GAUGAACGCUGGCGGCGUGCCUAAUACAUGCAAGUCGAGCGAACGGACUAGAAGCUUGCUUCUCUGAUGUUAGCGGCGGACGGGUGAGUAACACGUGGAUAACCUACCUAUAAGACUGGUAUAACUUCGGGAAACCGGAGCUAAUACCGGAUAAUAUUUUGAACCGCAUGGUUCAAAACUGAAAGACGGUCUUGCUGUCACUUAUAGAUGUAUCCGCGCUGCAUUAGCUAGUUGGUAAGGUAACGGCUUACCAAGGCAACGAUGCAUAGCCGACCUGAGAGGGUGAUCGGCCACACUGGAACUGAGACACGGUCCAGACUCCUACGGGAGGCAGCAGUAGGGAAUCUUCCGCAAUGGGCGAAAGCCUGACGGAGCAACGCCGCGUGAGUGAUGAAGGUCUUCGGAUCGUAAAACUCUGUUAUUAGGGAAGAAAAUAUGUGUAAGUAACUGUGCACAUCUUGACGGUACCUAAUCAGAAAGCCACGGCUAACUACGUG
This 497-nucleotide ribosomal RNA is filed under the name uncultured bacterium. Its description in RNAcentral is "partial 16S ribosomal RNA". It matches the Rfam family "Bacterial small subunit ribosomal RNA", at positions 28 to 507 of the family's 1533-position model. The record is from RNAcentral.